GACGAACGCUGGCGGCGUGCUUAACACAUGCAAGUCGAACGGUAAGGCCCUUCGGGGUACACGAGUGGCGAACGGGUGAGUAACACGUGGGUGAUCUGCCCUGCACUUCGGGAUAAGCCUGGGAAACUGGGUCUAAUACCGGAUAGGACCACUGCCUGCAUGGGUGGUGGUGGAAAGCUUUUGCGGGGUGGGAUGGGCCCGCGGCCUAUCAGCUUGUUGGUGGGGUGAUGGCCUACCAAGGCGACGACGGGUAGCCGGCCAGAGAGGGUGACCGGCCACACUGGGACUGAGAUACGGCCCAGACUCCUACGGGAAGCAGCAGUGGGGAAUAUUGCACAAUGGGCGCAAGCCUGAUGCAGCGACGCCGCGUGAGGGAUGACGGCCUUCGGGUUGUAAACCUCUUUCAGCACCGACGAAGCGCAAGUGACGGUAGGUGCAGAAGAAGGACCGGCCAACUACGUGCCAGCCGCCGCCGUAA
Molecule: ribosomal RNA, 478 nt
Filed under: uncultured bacterium
Lineage: Bacteria
Description: partial 16S ribosomal RNA
Rfam family: Bacterial small subunit ribosomal RNA
Source: RNAcentral